RNAcentral lists this long non-coding RNA (219 nucleotides) under Capsicum annuum. RNAcentral describes it as "long non-coding RNA (CANN_LNC010188)". The record is from RNAcentral. Lineage: Eukaryota; Viridiplantae; Streptophyta; Magnoliopsida; Solanales; Solanaceae.
AGUGCAAGUGACAAUAUCUUUGUGUACGCGGAGGGAGGCCAUGGUAAUUCUCAGGUUUUUUAGUAGUAAUCGCCAAUAAUUUUCCAUUAUACAGGCCUAAAAAAGAGGGCUUGGAGUAUUUUCAGUGGGAGCCUUUUAUGUUGAAGGCAUUCAUAUCAUAGCCAUAUUUGUAGAUCCAUAUCAUAUUUGUAAAGAUGGAUUCCUAUAAUGAUCCUUCUG